Molecule: non-coding RNA, 126 nt
Organism: Pteropus alecto (black flying fox)
Lineage: Eukaryota; Metazoa; Chordata; Mammalia; Chiroptera; Pteropodidae
Source: Rfam
GUGUUGUAUGGAAUAAAAGAAUAUUGGCAUUCUCAUAAUAGAGAUGGGAAAUGUCUUAGUGAUCCGGGUACAUGGAUGUGGUUAAGGAGCUACCACCUGCUUUGUGGCUUUGAACUGAGCCUGGAA